Molecule: long non-coding RNA, 1302 nt
Filed under: Salmo salar (Atlantic salmon)
Lineage: Eukaryota; Metazoa; Chordata; Actinopteri; Salmoniformes; Salmonidae
Description: lncRNA (ENSSSAG00000092302.1)
Source: RNAcentral
AGUAAAGUAACACAUUACUUUUUGAAAUUGGGUAAUAUUAUUAUAGUUACUUUGUCAAACAAUGCGUGCAUUACUUUCAGAAUCUUAUCUCUACCUGGCGCAUUUCCAUGAUCCGAUCUCGACUUCUUUCCUCAUUUAGAAAGGCUGUUUGGAGAAAUGUCAUGACAGCUGCUGUCCAUAGAAAUGUAUAGAGGGCACACCUUUGAUAUUUAUCAUUGAUAGCAAAGAACAUAGAGGGCUUUCCCAUCUACUGGCCCUCUAUACAUCUCUACGGGUCUGUGUGUGUGCAGUCUAUAACCAGAGCAGGCGGCUCGAGACAGAUUUUCAAUGACAAAAUAGGAAAUCUGUACAGAUGUUGGCUAACAUUAUAUAUGGCUAAUUAAGCAGCCCAUAUGAUAGCACAGAACUUGUAAACUAACAAAGGAAAGCAGCACCAUAGAUGAAAUGAGAAACUGGUGAUCAAACCUGAGUUUGAUCGGGUCGGUAGCACUACUAUUUAUUGACUACAGCUCAGCGUUCAACACCAUAGCGCCCUUUUACGCUGCUGCUACUCUGUUAUUGUCUAUGCAUAGUCACUUUAAUAACUCUACCUACAUGUACUAUAUUACCUCAAUUACCUCGAUUAACCUGUGCCCCCGCACAUUGAUUCUGUAGCGGUACCCCAUGUAUAUAGCCUCGUUACUGUUACUUUACUGCUGCUCUUUAAUUAUUUGUUACUUUUUUUUCGUACUUUUUUUUGGUAUUUUUCUUAAAACUGCAUUGUUGGUUAAAAGGGCUUGUAAGUAAGCAUUUCACUGUAAGGCCUACACCUGUUGUAUUCGGCGAAUGUGACAAAUAACAUUUUGCUUUAUUUGAUCUUUGGUAGAAUGCACAUGCCUCGCCUUGCUCCCUCCCACAGUCAAACAAACGGUGUCUCCUGUUUUCCCCAUUAGUCCCCGGUGUAUUUAUCCCUGUGUUUCCUGUCUCUCUGUGCCAGUUCGUCUUGUUUUGCCAAGUCAACCAGCGUUUCUCCUAGCUCCUAUUUUUCCUAGUCUCUGUUUUUUCCUAACCCUCCUGGUUUUGACCCUUGCCUGCCCUGACGCCGAAUCCGCCUGCCUGACCACUGCCUGUUUUGACCUCGAGCCUGCCUAUCCCCUUGUACUGUUUGGACUCGGACCUGUUCACUGAACCCCUGCCUGUCCUGACCUCGAGCUUGCCUAUCCCCUGGUACUGUUUGGACUCGGACUUGGUUUAUGAACUCGUCUGUCCCCGACCUGCCUUUUGCCUACCCCUUUUGGUAUAAUAAAUAUCGGAGCUCAACCA